GGAGAUGCUGGCCGGGCGCAGCGGCCGGCUGCUCGACGCGGUCAAGAGCCAGGGGCGCAACGGCUAUCGGGCGUUCGAGGAACCCUUCAUCGCCU
This 95-nucleotide transfer RNA is filed under the name Azospirillum oryzae. RNAcentral's name for it is "tRNA-Ser". The record is from RNAcentral. Lineage: Bacteria; Pseudomonadati; Pseudomonadota; Alphaproteobacteria; Rhodospirillales; Azospirillaceae.